Molecule: transfer RNA, 73 nt
Filed under: Trichococcus patagoniensis
Lineage: Bacteria; Bacillati; Bacillota; Bacilli; Lactobacillales; Carnobacteriaceae
Also listed under: 1 other name
Description: tRNA-Asp
Rfam family: tRNA
About the family: Transfer RNA (tRNA) molecules are approximately 80 nucleotides in length. Their secondary structure includes four short double-helical elements and three loops (D, anti-codon, and T loops).
Source: RNAcentral
GGUUCCGUGGUGUAGGGGUUAACAUGCCUGCCUGUCACGCAGGAGAUCGCGGGUUCAAAUCCCGUCGGAGCCG